RNAcentral lists this ribosomal RNA (496 nucleotides) under uncultured bacterium. Its description in RNAcentral is "partial 16S ribosomal RNA". It matches the Rfam family "Bacterial small subunit ribosomal RNA", at positions 28 to 506 of the family's 1533-position model. The record is from RNAcentral.
GAUGAACGCUGGCGGCGUGCCUAAUACAUGCAAGUCGAGCGAACAGACGCGGCGCUUGCUCCUCUGACGUUAGCGGCGGACGGGUGAGUAACACGUGGAUCACCUCCUUAUAAGACUGGGAUAACUUCGGGACACCGGAGCUAAUACCGGAUAAUAUCUUGCACCGUAUGGUUCAAUAGUGAAAGACGGUUUUGCUGUCACUUCUCGCUGGAUCCGCGCCGGAUUAGCUAGUUGGUAAGGUAACGGCUUACCACGGGGACGAUGCGUGGCCGACCUGAGAGGGUGAACGGCCACUGUGGAGGUGAGACGCGGCCCAGACACCUACGGGAGGCAGCAGUAGGGAAGCGACCGCAAAGGGCGAAAGCCUGACGGAGCAACGCCGCGUGGGUGAAGAAGGUCUUCGUAUCGGAAAACGCUGUUAUUAGUGAAGAACAAAUGUGUAAGUAACGAAGCACGUCUGGACGUUACCUAAACAGAAGGCCACGGCUAACUACUU